Molecule: ribosomal RNA, 2925 nt
Filed under: Bacillus paranthracis
Lineage: Bacteria; Bacillati; Bacillota; Bacilli; Caryophanales; Bacillaceae
Description: 23S ribosomal RNA
Rfam family: Bacterial large subunit ribosomal RNA
Source: RNAcentral
UUUGGUUAAGUUAGAAAGGGCGCACGGUGGAUGCCUUGACACUAGGAGUCGAUGAAGGACGGGACUAACGCCGAUAUGCUUCGGGGAGCUGUAAGUAAGCUUUGAUCCGAAGAUUUCCGAAUGGGGAAACCCACUAUACGUAAUGGUAUGGUAUCCUUAUCUGAAUACAUAGGGUAAGGAAGACAGACCCAGGAAACUGAAACAUCUAAGUACCUGGAGGAAGAGAAAGCAAAUGCGAUUUCCUGAGUAGCGGCGAGCGAAACGGAACAUAGCCCAAACCAAGAGGCUUGCCUCUUGGGGUUGUAGGACAUUCUAUACGGAGUUACAAAGGAACGAGGUAGACGAAGCGACCUGGAAAGGUCCGUCGUAGAGGGUAACAACCCCGUAGUCGAAACUUCGUUCUCUCUUGAAUGUAUCCUGAGUACGGCGGAACACGUGAAAUUCCGUCGGAAUCUGGGAGGACCAUCUCCCAAGGCUAAAUACUCCCUAGUGAUCGAUAGUGAACCAGUACCGUGAGGGAAAGGUGAAAAGCACCCCGGAAGGGGAGUGAAAGAGAUCCUGAAACCGUGUGCCUACAAAUAGUCAGAGCCCGUUAACGGGUGAUGGCGUGCCUUUUGUAGAAUGAACCGGCGAGUUACGAUCCCGUGCGAGGUUAAGCUGAAGAGGCGGAGCCGCAGCGAAAGCGAGUCUGAAUAGGGCGUUUAGUACGUGGUCGUAGACCCGAAACCAGGUGAUCUACCCAUGUCCAGGGUGAAGUUCAGGUAACACUGAAUGGAGCGCCCGAACCCACGCACGUUGAAAAGUGCGGGGAUGAGGUGUGGGUAGCGGAGAAAUUCCAAUCGAACCUGGAGAUAGCUGGUUCUCCCCGAAAUAGCUUUAGGGCUAGCCUUAAGUGUAAGAGUCUUGGAGGUAGAGCACUGAUUGGACUAGGGGUCCUCAUCGGAUUACCGAAUUCAGUCAAACUCCGAAUGCCAAUGACUUAUCCUUAGGAGUCAGACUGCGAGUGAUAAGAUCCGUAGUCAAAAGGGAAACAGCCCAGACCGCCAGCUAAGGUCCCAAAGUGUGUAUUAAGUGGAAAAGGAUGUGGAGUUGCUUAGACAACUAGGAUGUUGGCUUAGAAGCAGCCACCAUUUAAAGAGUGCGUAAUAGCUCACUAGUCGAGUGACUCUGCGGCCGAAAAUGUACCGGGGCUAAAUACACCACCCGAAGCUGCGGAUUGAUACCGAAUGGUAUCAGUGGUAGGGGAGCGUUCUAAGGACAGUGAAGUCAGACCGGAAGGACUGGUGGAGUGCUUAGAAGUGAGAAUGCCGGUAUGAGUAGCGAAAGACGGGUGAGAAUCCCGUCCACCGAAUGCCUAAGGUUUCCUGAGGAAGGCUCGUCCGCUCAGGGUUAGUCAGGACCUAAGCCGAGGCCGACAGGCGUAGGCGAUGGACAACAGGUUGAUAUUCCUGUACCACCUCUUUUAUCGUUUGAGCAAUGGAGGGACGCAGAAGGAUAGAAGAAGCGUGCGAUUGGUUGUGCACGUCCAAGCAGUUAGGCUGAUAAGUAGGCAAAUCCGCUUAUCGUAAAGGCUGAGCUGUGAUGGGGAAGCUCCUUAUGGAGCGAAGUCUUUGAUUCCCGCUGCCAAGAAAAGCUUCUAGCGAGAUAAAAGGUGCCUGUACCGCAAACCGACACAGGUAGGCGAGGAGAGAAUCCUAAGGUGUGCGAGAGAACUCUGGUUAAGGAACUCGGCAAAAUGACCCCGUAACUUCGGGAGGGGUGCUUUCUUAACGGAAAGCCGCAGUGAAUAGGCCCAAGCGCGACUGUUUAGCAAAAACACAGCUCUCUGCGAAGCCGUAAGGCGAAGUAUAGGGGGUGACACCUGCCCGGUGCUGGAAGGUUAAGGAGAGGGGUUAGCGUAAGCGAAGCUCUGAACUGAAGCCCAGUAAACGGCGGCCGUAACUAUAACGGUCCUAAGGUAGCGAAAUUCCUUGUCGGGUAAGUUCCGACCCGCACGAAAGGUGUAACGAUUUUGGCACUGUCUCAACCAGAGACUCGGUGAAAUUAUAGUACCUGUGAAGAUGCAGGUUACCCGCGACAGGACGGAAAGACCCCGUGGAGCUUUACUGUAGCCUGAUAUUGAAUUUUGGUACAGUUUGUACAGGAUAGGCGGGAGCCUUUGAAACCGGAGCGCUAGCUUCGGUGGAGGCGCUGGUGGAUACCGCCCUGACUGUAUUGAAAUUCUAACCUACGGGUCUUAUCGACCCGGGAGACAGUGUCAGGUGGGCAGUUUGACUGGGGCGGUCGCCUCCUAAAGUGUAACGGAGGCGCCAAAGGUUCCCUCAGAAUGGUUGGAAAUCAUUCGUAGAGUGCAAAGGCAUAAGGGAGCUUGACUGCGAGACCUACAAGUCGAGCAGGGACGAAAGUCGGGCUUAGUGAUCCGUGGUUCCGCAUGGAAGGGCCAUCGCUCAACGGAUAAAAGCUACCCGGGGAUAACAGGCUUAUCUCCCCAAGAGUCCACAUCGACGGGGAGGUUUGGCACCUCGAUGUCGGCUCAUCGCAUCCUGGGGCUGUAGUCGGUCCAAGGGUUGGGCUGUUCGCCCAUUAAAGCGGUACGCGAGCUGGGUUCAGAACGUCGUGAGACAGUUCGGUCCCUAUCCGUCGUGGGCGUAGGAAAUUUGAGAGGAGCUGUCCUUAGUACGAGAGGACCGGGAUGGACGCACCGCUGGUGUACCAGUUGUUCUGCCAAGGGCAUAGCUGGGUAGCUAUGUGCGGAAGGGAUAAGUGCUGAAAGCAUCUAAGCAUGAAGCCCCCCUCAAGAUGAGAUUUCCCAUAGCGUAAGCUAGUAAGAUCCCUGAAAGAUGAUCAGGUUGAUAGGUUCGAGGUGGAAGCAUGGUGACAUGUGGAGCUGACGAAUACUAAUAGAUCGAGGACUUAACCAUAUAA